RNAcentral lists this ribosomal RNA (493 nucleotides) under uncultured bacterium. RNAcentral describes it as "bacterial SSU rRNA". It matches the Rfam family "Bacterial small subunit ribosomal RNA", at positions 26 to 518 of the family's 1533-position model. The record is from RNAcentral.
AGGACGAACGCUGGCGGCGUGCCUAAUACAUGCAAGUCGAACGAACUGUGGAAAGCUUGCUUUCAGAGUUAGUGGCGAACGGGUGAGUAACACGUAAGUAACCUAGCUAUUAGACGAGGAUAACUACUGGAAACGGUAGCUAAGACUGGAUAUGAUAGAAAUAUUUAAAGGAUGCUAAGGCAUCGCUAAUAGAGGGGCUUGCGGCGCAUUAGCUAGUUGGUAGGGUAAAAGCCAACCAAGGCGAUGAUGCGUAGCCGACCUGAGAGGGUGACCGGCCACACUGGGACUGAGACACGGCCCAGACUCCUACGGGAGGCAGCAGUAGGGAAUCUUCGGCAAUGGACGGAAGUCUGACCGAGCAACGCCGCGUGAGUGAAGAAAGUUUUCGGAUUGUAAAGCUCUGUUAUUAGGGAAGAAAGGCUCUAGGAGGAAAUGCUUAGGGAUUGACGGUACCUAAUGAGGAAGCCACGGCUAACUACGUGCCAGCCGCUGC